UAAGACCUCGCGUUAUUGGAGCGGCCGAUAUCUGAUUAGCUAGUUGGUGGGGUAAGAGCCUACCAAGGCGACGAUCAGUAGCUGGUCUGAGAGGACGACCAGCCACACUGGGACUGAGACACGGCCCAGACUCCUACGGGAGGCAGCAGUGGGGAAUUUUGGACAAUGGGCGAAAGCCUGAUCCAGCCAUGCCGCGUGAGUGAAGAAGGCCUUCGGGUUGUAAAGCUCUUUCGCAAGGAAAGAAAUCCUAUCCACUAAUACUGGGUGGGGAUGACGGUACCUUGAUAAGAAGCACCGGCUAACUACGUGCCAGCAGCCGCGGUAAUACGUAGGGUGCGAGCGUUAAUCGGAAUUACUGGGCGUAAAGCGAGCGCAGGCGGUUUUGUAAGUCAGAUGUGAAAUCCCCGGGCUCAACCUGGGAACU
This 424-nucleotide ribosomal RNA is filed under the name uncultured bacterium. Its description in RNAcentral is "bacterial SSU rRNA". It matches the Rfam family "Bacterial small subunit ribosomal RNA", at positions 202 to 622 of the family's 1533-position model. The record is from RNAcentral.